UAAUAUCAGCUGGUAAUCCUGAGCAAAAGAAUCUCUCAGGCGGCUAGUUGGUAUUGGG
Molecule: microRNA precursor, 58 nt
Filed under: Euprymna scolopes
Lineage: Eukaryota; Metazoa; Mollusca; Cephalopoda; Sepiida; Sepiolidae
Description: Esc-Mir-216-P1_pre stem-loop
Source: RNAcentral